Molecule: ribosomal RNA, 431 nt
Filed under: uncultured bacterium
Lineage: Bacteria
Description: partial 16S ribosomal RNA
Rfam family: Bacterial small subunit ribosomal RNA
Source: RNAcentral
AAUGAACGCUGGCGGCAGGCCUAACACAUGCAAGUCGAGCGCCCCGCCAGGGGAGCGGCCGACGGGCGGGUAACGCGUGGGAACGUACCUUUUGGUUCGGAACAACUCCGGGAGACUGGAGCUAAUACCGGAUAACCCCUAACGGGGAAAGGAUUAUCGCGGAAAGAUCGGCUCGCGUGUGAUUAGCCAGUUGGCUGGGUCACGGAUCACCAAGGCGACCAUCUGUAGCUGGUCAGAGAGGAUCAGCCGCCACACUGGGGCGAGGACACAGCCCAGACUCCUGCGGGAGGGGGCAGUGGGGAAUAUUGGACAAUGGGCGGAGGGCUGAACCAGCCAGGACGCGUGAGUGAUGAAGGCCUUAGGGAUGUAAAGCUCUUUUAUCCGGGAAGAUAUUGACGGUACCGGAAGAAUAAGCCCCGGCUAACUUCGUG